This is a long non-coding RNA of Cygnus olor (mute swan), 600 nucleotides long. RefSeq lists it as uncharacterized. The record is from RefSeq and is a predicted model, not a curated record. NCBI's taxonomy places the organism in Eukaryota, Metazoa, Chordata, Aves, Anseriformes, Anatidae. The transcript is spliced from 4 exons.
CCUGGCCAUGGCAAGGAGGAGCUGGGCAGGCAGAGCACUGGGAAGGCCCUGGACAAGGCUGUGCUGGAGCUGAAGCUGCUACGUGCUCAGGAAUAACAACGCUUGCUCUUAGCUCAUGAUGCAAAUGUCAAAGUGCCCUUGGACUGAAAAGGGGAUAAAGCAAACUGGGACUGCCCAGAGGCUGAGAUAGCCCAAGGUGACCCAGCCUGGGUGCUAUGCCAAAUAAUUCAAACCCAGCUCCUUCUCAGAGCAGAAGUCUGCAAUACUGGGGGGAAAAGUUCACAGCGAGCAUUGGUGUUUUUGAAGAGUCUUUUUUUAUUUCCUUUCCGGCUGCCAUUCUAACGAACCUCAUGGGGGGAAACCAUGCCAGAGGAAGAAGCAAAAUGAGGCUACUGAAGUCAAAGAAAGAAAAUAUAAGACUCUUUGACAGGAUGGAAAAUAAGGCACAAUUAGGGAAGACUUAUUGCCUGGAAAAUGAUAAUGGACAGAAAAUAACCAUUUUUUUUCCUAGUAACAUCCACAAGGACCAUGCACCGAGGUGUUAAAUGCCAGCAUUUCAGUUAUGUUUUUACUUACUGCCAAAGGCUGAGCCUGCAGCUG